GCCUCGGUGGCGCAGUGGUUAGCGCGUAGGUCUCAUAAUCCUAAGGUCGUGGGUUCGACCCCCACUCGAGGCA
Molecule: transfer RNA, 73 nt
Filed under: Octopus vulgaris (common octopus)
Lineage: Eukaryota; Metazoa; Mollusca; Cephalopoda; Octopoda; Octopodidae
Also listed under: 1 other name
Rfam family: tRNA
About the family: Transfer RNA (tRNA) molecules are approximately 80 nucleotides in length. Their secondary structure includes four short double-helical elements and three loops (D, anti-codon, and T loops).
Source: Rfam by way of RNAcentral